UGCCCUAGUAACGGCGAGUGAAGCGGCAACAGCUCAAAUUUGAAAUCUGGCUUUCGGGCCCGAGUUGUAAUUUGUAGAGGAUACUUUUGAUGCGGUGCCUUCCGAGUUCCCUGGAACGGGACGCCAUAGAGGGUGAGAGCCCCGUCUGGUUGGAUGCCAAAUCUCUGUAAAGUUCCUUCGACGAGUCGAGUAGUUUGGGAAUGCUGCUCUAAAUGGGAGGUAUAUGUCUUCUAAAGCUAAAUAUUGGCCAGAGACCGAUAGCGCACAAGUAGAGUGAUCGAAAGAUGAAAAGCACUUUGAAAAGAGAGUUAAAAAGUACGUGAAAUUGUUGAAAGGGAAGCGUUUAUGACCAGACUUGGACUUGGUUAAUCAUCUGGGGUUCUCCCCAGUGCACUUUUCCAGUUCAGGCCAGCAUCAGUUUUCGCCGGGGGAUAAAGGCUUCGGGAAUGUAGCUCUCUUCGGGGAGUGUUAUAGCCCGUUGUGUAAUACCCUGGUGGAGACUGAGGUUCGCGCUUCUGCAAGGAUGCUGGCGUAAUGGUCAUCAACGACCCGUCUUGAAACACGGACCAAGGAGUCGUCUUCGUAUGCGAGUGUUCGGGUGUCAAACCCCUACGCGUAAUGAAAGUGAACGCAGGUGAGAGCUUCGGCGCAUCAUCGACCGAUCCUGAUGUUCUCGGAUGGAUUUGAGUAAGAGCAUACGGGGCCGGACCCGAAAGAAGGUGAACUAUGCCUGUAUAGGGUGAAGCCAGAGGAAACUCUGGUGGAGGCUCGCAGCGGUUCUGACGUGCAAAUCGAUCGUCAAAUAUGGGCAUG
RNAcentral lists this ribosomal RNA (813 nucleotides) under Fusarium avenaceum. RNAcentral's name for it is "eukaryotic LSU rRNA". It matches the Rfam family "Eukaryotic large subunit ribosomal RNA", at positions 76 to 919 of the family's 3401-position model. The record is from RNAcentral. Lineage: Eukaryota; Fungi; Ascomycota; Sordariomycetes; Hypocreales; Nectriaceae. RNAcentral also lists the same sequence under 2 other names.